UGCAAGUCGAACGGUGAAGCCCAGCUUGCUGGGUGGAUCAGUGGCGAACGGGUGAGUAACACGUGAGCAACCUGCCCCUGACUCUGGGAUAAGCGCUGGAAACGGCGUCUAAUACUGGAUAUGUGACGUGACCGCAUGGUCUGCGUUUGGAAAGAUUUUUCGGUUGGGGAUGGGCUCGCGGCCUAUCAGCUUGUUGGUGAGGUAAUGGCUCACCAAGGCGUCGACGGGUAGCCGGCCUGAGAGGGUGACCGGCCACACUGGGACUGAGACACGGCCCAGACUCCUACGGGAGGCAGCAGUGGGGAAUAUUGCACAAUGGGCGCAAGCCUGAUGCAGCAACGCCGCGUGAGGGAUGACGGCCUUCGGGUUGUAAACCUCUUUUAGCAGGGAAGAAGCGAAAGUGACGGUACCUGCAGAAAAAGCGCCGGCUAACUACGUGCCAGCAGCCGCGGUAAUACGUAGGGCGCAAGCGUUAUCCGGAAUUAUUGGGCGUAAAGAGCUCGUAGGCGGUUUGUCGCGUCUGCUGUGAAAUCCCGAGGCUCAACCUCGGGCCUGCAGUGGGUACGGGCAGACUAGAGUGCGGUAGGGGAGAUUGGAAUUCCUGGUGUAGCGGUGGAAUGCGCAGAUAUCAGGAGGAACACCGAUGGCGAAGGCAGAUCUCUGGGCCGUAACUGACGCUGAGGAGCGAAAGGGUGGGGAGCAAACAGGCUUAGAUACCCUGGUAGUCCACCCCGUAAACGUUGGGAACUAGUUGUGGGGUCCAUUCCACGGAUUCCGUGACGCAGCUAACGCAUUAAGUUCCCCGCCUGGGGAGUACGGCCGCAAGGCUAAAACUCAAAGGAAUUGACGGGGACCCGCACAAGCGGCGGAGCAUGCGGAUUAAUUCGAUGCAACGCGAAGAACCUUACCAAGGCUUGACAUAUACGAGAACGGGCCAGAAAUGGUCAACUCUUUGGACACUCGUAAACAGGUGGUGCAUGGUUGUCGUCAGCUCGUGUCGUGAGAUGUUGGGUUAAGUCCCGCAACGAGCGCAACCCUCGUUCUAUGUUGCCAGCACGUAAUGGUGGGAACUCAUGGGAUACUGCCGGGGUCAACUCGGAGGAAGGUGGGGAUGACGUCAAAUCAUCAUGCCCCUUAUGUCUUGGGCUUCACGCAUGCUACAAUGGCCGGUACAAAGGGCUGCAAUACCGCGAGGUGGAGCGAAUCCCAAAAAGCCGGUCCCAGUUCGGAUUGAGGUCUGCAACUCGACCUCAUGAAGUCGGAGUCGCUAGUAAUCGCAGAUCAGCAACGCUGCGGUGAAUACGUUCCCGGGUCUUGUACACACCGCCCGUCAAGUCAUGAAAGUCGGUAACACCUGAAGCCGGUGG
RNAcentral lists this ribosomal RNA (1367 nucleotides) under Microbacterium sp. RNAcentral's name for it is "bacterial SSU rRNA". It matches the Rfam family "Bacterial small subunit ribosomal RNA", at positions 56 to 1433 of the family's 1533-position model. Lineage: Bacteria; Bacillati; Actinomycetota; Actinomycetes; Micrococcales; Microbacteriaceae. The record is from RNAcentral.